RNAcentral lists this long non-coding RNA (2308 nucleotides) under Homo sapiens (human). RNAcentral's name for it is "non-protein coding lnc-GABRB2-7:1". Lineage: Eukaryota; Metazoa; Chordata; Mammalia; Primates; Hominidae. The record is from RNAcentral.
UCCUAUUCUCUCUUUACUUUGUUGAUAGUGUCUUUUGAAGCACAGACUUAAUUUUGAUGAAGUCUUAUCCAUCAUGCCAUUGGUGGAUCAUGUUUUUGGUGUCAUGUCUAGGAACCUUAACCCCAGGUCAUGAGGAAUUUUUCUUUUUUCUUUUUUUGACUCACAUUCUCACUCUGUCACCCAGGCUGGGGUGCAGUGGCACAAUCUCCACUCACUGCAACCUCUGCCUGCUGGGUUCAAGUGAUUCUUGUGCUUCAGUCUCCCAAGUAGCUGGGACUACAGGUGUGCACCACCACUCCCAGCCCAUUUUUUUUUUAUUUUUUAUUUUUAGUAGAGUUGGGAUUUCACCAUAUAGGCUAGGCUGGUCUUGAACUGACCUCAACGGAUCUGCCCGCCUCAGCCUCUGAAGUGCUGGGAUUACAGGCAUGAGCCACCGUGCCCGGCCUAUGGAUUUUUUUCUUCUAAAAAUUUUAUAAAUUUAGUUCUACAUUUAGAUCCGUGAUCCAUUUUAGGUUAAUUUUUGUAUAAGCUGUGAAAUUUAGGUAGGUUUAUUUUUUUGCAUAUGGAUGUUCAGUUGUUUUAAAAUCGUCUGUUGAAAAACUCUCCAUUCCCCAUUGAGUUGUCUUUUCACCUUUGUCAGAAAUCAAUUGCUAUUUAUGUGAGUCUGGUUUUGGACUUUAUUCCAUCGAUCUAUGUGUUUAUCCUUUCAUAAAUACCAGAUUGCCUUGAUUAUCACAGCUUUAUAGUAAGUCUUAAAACUGGGCAGCAUGAUUCCUUCAAAAUUUUUUUGAAAUCUUUUUCAAAAUUGUUUUGGCUAAUUUAGUUUCUUUGCCUUCCAUAUGAAUUUUAGAAUUAGCUACUCUGUAUCUACAAAAAAUCCUACUGGGGUUUUGAAUGCAAUUUUGUGUCUUCCAAUCCAUGAACAUGAGGUAUCUAUUUAGGACCUCUUUCAUUUCAGUUAUCAGCAUUUUAUGUCAUUUUUCAGCAUAUAUUCCACAGUGUUCAUUUUGGAGGAACUAUUGUUAAGUUGUAUUAUUUUUGAAACAUGGGUUUCCAAUUGCACAUCGCUAGUAUGUACAAAUGUGUUUGAUUUUUGUUUGUUGACCUUGUAUCCUGUGACCUUGCUAAACUUCAUUAGUUUUGGGAGUUAUUUUGUUGUUAACUCAUUAAGUUUUCUACAUAAACUACGAAUAGAAACAGUUUUAUUUUAUUCUUUUUAGUCUAUGAUUUUUCUUGCCUGAUUUUGUUGUUAACUCAUUAAGUUUUCUACAUAAACUACGAAUAGGAACAGUUUUAUUUUAUUCUUUUUAGUCUAUGAUUUUUCUUGCCUGAUUGCAGUGGCCAGAACAAUAACAUGGAGAAAGUGGCCAUCUCAGUCUUGUUCUGGAUCUUAGGAUUUUGAAAGCAUUGUUUUUGACCAUUAUGUAUGCAAGCUGUAGGCUUUUCUUAAAUUCCCUUUGUCAUGUUGAGCAAGUUCCCAUCUAUUAAUUUGUUGUUAGCAGAGUUUCAUGAGUGGAUGCUGAAUUUUCUAUGCUCUUUCUGUAUCAGUUUGGUCAUUCUUUUUGUUUAGACUGUUAAAAUCAUGGAUUUUACUGAUUCCAGAAUUUUGAAACAGCUUAUAUUUCCUCCCAACCCCAAACUUGGUCAUGGUACAUUAUUCAGCUUAUGUAUCUAGAUUUUUAUUUUUUGAGGAUUUUUAUGUCUGUGUUCAUUUUGGAUAUUGUGCAAUUGUUUUUGUUUGUUUUUUCCUUGUGUUAUCUUUAUCUUGGUAUGGUAUCAUGUUAAUUCUGGUCUUGUAAAAUGAAUUGCAAAGUGAUUAUUCUUUCUGGAAGAGAUUUGUAGAAUUUGUUAUAUCUUUAAAUGUUUUAUGAAUUUGCUAGUAAGGUUUUAAACAAUGGUUCAAUUUUUAAAAAUAGAGAAUUUAUUGAGGUUUAUUUAAGUUUGGGUACUGUAUGCCUUUCAAGGAAUUGGUUCAUCUAAUCCUAUGUGCAUAGAGUUGUUCAUGGUAUUUUCUUUGUGUCGUUCUAAUGAGGAUCUAUACUGUUAUCUUUUCUUUGAUUCCUAAGAUUGGAAUCAAAGAUUGGAAUUCCUUCUCUUUUUUUGUCAAUUUUGCCAGAGGUUUAUCAAUUUUACUGCUCUUUUCAAAAAUUAGUUUUUUGAUUGUUUUCUAUUAAUUUGUUUACAAUUGCAUUUAUUUUCUGCCUCUUUUUUUUUUUUCUUCUUUCUGCUUGCUUUAGGUUUAGUUUGGGCUUCUUUUUUUUGUAGACAGGUCUCACUUCAUCACCCAGACUGGAGUAGUGUUAUGAUC